CCUGGGAGGCGGGAGGGGGGUUGGGGCUUCUCAGCGCCGAUUCCGCGGGAAGGGCCCUGGGGCCUCACACUUCUAGUCGCGGGAGCUGCCGGUCUUACCCGGAGAGACGCUGCACGUGGAGCCCGCGCCGCUGCCGUUCUCAGCCGGCUCUGGAGUGCGGGCGGGGGUGACAGGGCCGAUUCCGGAGCGGCAUUGUAGAACAAACCUACGCACCAGCUGAAUGUGUAAGCCAGGCCAUAGACAUCAAUGAACCAAUAGGCAAUUUAAAGAAACUGCUAGAACCAAGACUACAGUGUUCUUUGGAUGCUCAUGAAAUUUGUCUGCAAGAUAUCCAGCUGGAUCCAGAACGAAGUUUAUUUGACCAAGGAGUAAAAACAGAUGGAACUGUACAGCUUAGUGUACAGGUAAUUUCUUACCAAGGAAUUGAACCAAAGUUAAACAUCCUUGAAAUUGUUAAACCUGCGGACACUGUUGAGGUUGUUAUUGAUCCAGAUGCCCACCAUGCUGAAUCAGAAGCACAUCUUGUUGAAGAAGCUCAAGUGAUAACUCUUGAUGGCACAAAACACAUCACAACCAUUUCAGAUGAAACUUCCGAACAAGUGACAAGAUGGGCUGCUGCACUGGAAGGCUAUAGGAAAGAACAAGAACGCCUUGGGAUACCCUAUGGUAAUGAAAUACAUAAUUUUAUAUUGGGUAGAAUAAUAGGAAUUAAGCUUGACAUAGAAGACACUGGGGUAAGUUAUAAUCUAUUUUACAUGUAGAGUUAUUAGGAUGAAUGUU
This 780-nucleotide small RNA is filed under the name Pongo abelii (Sumatran orangutan). Its description in RNAcentral is "processed transcript". Lineage: Eukaryota; Metazoa; Chordata; Mammalia; Primates; Hominidae. The record is from RNAcentral.